Molecule: ribosomal RNA, 541 nt
Filed under: uncultured bacterium
Lineage: Bacteria
Description: bacterial SSU rRNA
Rfam family: Bacterial small subunit ribosomal RNA
Source: RNAcentral
AAUAGAUACCCCGGUAGUCCACGCCGUAAACGAUGGGCGCUAGGUGUGGGAGGUGUCGACUCCUUCCGUGCCGAAGCUAACGCAUUAAGCGCCCCGCCUGGGGAGUACGGCCGCAAGGCUGAAACUCAAAGGAAUUGACGGGGGCCCGCACAAGCGGUGGAGCAUGUGGUUUAAUUCGAAGCAACGCGAAGAACCUUACCAGGUCUUGACAUCCUCUGAUCUCCCUGGAGACAGGGCCUUCCCCUUCGGGGGACAGAGUGACAGGUGGUGCAUGGUUGUCGUCAGCUCGUGUCGUGAGAUGUUGGGUUAAGUCCCGCAACGAGCGCAACCCUUGACCUUAGUUGCCAGCAUUCAGUUGGGCACUCUAAGGUGACUGCCGGUGACAAACCGGAGGAAGGUGGGGAUGACGUCAAAUCAUCAUGCCCCUUAUGACCUGGGCUACACACGUGCUACAAUGGAUGGUACAAAGGGCUGCGAGACCGCGAGGUUAAGCCAAUCCCAGAAAACCAUUCCCAGUUCGGAUUGCAGGCUGCAACCCGCC